CCUACCUUAUAGACAGGGACAACUAUUGGAAACGAUAGCUAAUACCUGAUAAGAAAGAAACUCGCAUGAGAGAAGUUCGAAAGUCGGAGCAAUCUGACACUAUAAGAUGGCUUUGCGGUGCAUUAGCUAGUUGGUAGGGUAAAAGCCUACCAAGGCGACGAUGCAUAGCCGACCUGAGAGGGUGAUCGGCCACAUUGGGACUGAGACACGGCCCAGACUCCUACGGGAGGCAGCAGCG
RNAcentral lists this ribosomal RNA (238 nucleotides) under uncultured Gemella sp. Its description in RNAcentral is "partial 16S ribosomal RNA". It matches the Rfam family "Bacterial small subunit ribosomal RNA", at positions 125 to 356 of the family's 1533-position model. Lineage: Bacteria; Bacillati; Bacillota; Bacilli; Caryophanales; Gemellaceae. The record is from RNAcentral.